CCUACGUGAGGCAGCAGUGAGGAAUAUUGGUCAAUGGGCGCGAGUCUGAACCAGCCAAGUAGCGUGAAGGAUGACUGCCCUACGGGUUGUAAACUUCUUUUAUAAGGGAAUAAAAUGAGCCAAGUGUGGGAUUUUGUAUGUACCAUAUGAAUAAGGAUCGGCUAACACCGUGCCAGCAGCCGCGGUAAUACGGAGUAUCCGAGAGUUAGCCGGAUUUAUUGGGGUUAAAGGGAUCGUAGGUGGUUUGUUAAGGCAGUUGUGAAAGUUUGCGGCUGAACCGUAAAAUUGAAGUUGAGACUGGCAGUCUUGAGUACAGUCGAGGUAGGCGGAAUUCGUGGUGUAGCGGUGCAAUGCUUAGAUAUCACGAAGAACUCCGAUUGCGAAGGCAGUUUACUAAACUGCCACUGACACUGAGGCUCGAAAGUGUGGGUAUCAAACAGGAUUUGAUACCCGAGUAGUC
This 460-nucleotide ribosomal RNA is filed under the name uncultured bacterium. Its description in RNAcentral is "partial 16S ribosomal RNA". It matches the Rfam family "Bacterial small subunit ribosomal RNA", at positions 338 to 795 of the family's 1533-position model. The record is from RNAcentral.